GCUUAACCGAAGAAGGGCAUCGGAAACUGGAUGACUUGAGUGCAGAAGAGGGCAGUGGAACUCCAUGUGUAGCGGUGGAAUGCGUAGAUAUAUGGAAGAACACCAGUGGCGAAGGCGGCUGCCUAGUCUGCAACUGACGCUGAGGCUCGAAAGCAUGGGUAGCGAACAGGAUUAGAUACCCUGGUAGUCCAUGCCGUAAACGAUGAGUGCUAGGUGUUGGAGGGUUUCCGCCCUUCAGUGCCGCAGCUAACGCAAUAAGCACUCCGCCUGGGGAGUACGACCGCAAGGUUGAAACUCAAAGGAAUUGACGGGGGCCCGCACAAGCGGUGGAGCAUGUGGUUUAAUUCGAAGCUACGCGAAGAACCUUACCAGGUCUUGACAUCUUGCGCUAACCUAAGAGAUUAGGCGUUCCCUUCGGGGACGCAAUGACAGGUGGUGCAUGGUCGUCGUCAGCUCGUGUCGUGAGAUGUUGGGUUAAGUCCCGCAACGAGCGCAACCCUUGUUACUAGUUGCCAGCAUUCAGUUGGGCACUCUAGUGAGACUGCCGGUGACAAACCGGAGGAAGGUGGGGACGACGUCAGAUCAUCAUGCCCCUUAUGACCUGGGCUACACACGUGCUACAAUGGACGGUACAACG
Molecule: ribosomal RNA, 637 nt
Filed under: uncultured bacterium
Lineage: Bacteria
Description: bacterial SSU rRNA
Rfam family: Bacterial small subunit ribosomal RNA
Source: RNAcentral